Molecule: microRNA precursor, 81 nt
Filed under: Bombyx mori (domestic silkworm)
Lineage: Eukaryota; Metazoa; Arthropoda; Insecta; Lepidoptera; Bombycidae
Description: mir-2807 microRNA precursor family
Rfam family: mir-2807 microRNA precursor family
Source: Rfam by way of RNAcentral
UUAUCUAAACUUUGUAUGGAGUUGGAACGCUUGCCUACGUUUGCCGCUAGGGGCGCUGUUCCAACGCCGUACAAAGAGUUA